RNAcentral lists this transfer RNA (75 nucleotides) under Ruminococcaceae bacterium FB2012. Its description in RNAcentral is "tRNA_Gly_CCC". It matches the Rfam family "tRNA". Rfam says of the family: Transfer RNA (tRNA) molecules are approximately 80 nucleotides in length. Their secondary structure includes four short double-helical elements and three loops (D, anti-codon, and T loops). RNAcentral also lists the same sequence under 1 other name. The record is from RNAcentral. Lineage: Bacteria; Bacillati; Bacillota; Clostridia; Eubacteriales; Oscillospiraceae.
GCAGAUAUAGUAUAGCGGUCAUUAUUUCAGUUUCCCAAACUGAGGAUGCGGGUUCGACUCCCGUUAUCUGCUCCA